CAGAAACUGUACGCAGAACCUUUCUUGCAUUACAGCCUUAAAUGAAACUACAUUAAACAUGAUUUAUCCCACCUUCAUUUGCACAUGGUAUUCAGUAAUAUCCCACAUUUCUGAGAAUUUAUUAAAAAUGAAAUUCUAUAAUAACUGAGUUGUGUAAGUGUGGACAUUUUUCUCCAUCCAUUUUCCCCUCUGUCCCGACGAGAGCCCUAGUGCGUUCUCAAUGAGAAACGCCCCCAUAACAGGAUGCUUCGCUGUAGGGCUGGUGUUCUGUGUUGAUGUGCUGAUGUGUGUUUUGGACAGAAUUUCUAUUUUGGUUUCAUUAGAUCGCAAAACAUUUCAUGACAUUGCUUCAGAGUUCAGUGUGUUUUUGCAUAUGUCAAAGGAGACAUAUGCAAAAGGCUUUUUUGAGUAGGGCCUUUCUUCUUGCCACCCUGUCAUAUAGGCCAGUAUUGUGGAGAGCUUGGGAUAUUGUUGUCACAUGCACACAUUGACCAGUCUUUGCCAUAACGGACUGCAGCUGCAGCUCAUUAAAAGAUGCCAUUGGCCUCUUGGUGACCUCUCUGAUUAGUCUCCUCUGUGCUCGUUCAUCCUGUUUGCAGGGACGGCCUGAUCUAUGCAAGAUCUCAGUGGUGAUUCACUGUGUUAUUUGAGUCUUUUGAUAUCUCGUUAUGCUCAUCUCCUGAUUUGUGUCUGUCUGCAGUUUUACCUCUGAGUCCGUUAGAAUGCUCUUUGUUGUUCAUGGUUUGUUCUUUGCUGUGUAAUGCACUACCCUGCUGAGGAAGCCUACAGAAACAGAUUGUUUCAUUGUGUGCUAAUCAGAAUUACUAUAAAUGGACACAGGUAGGGGCCAGUCAGCUUGGUGUGUGAUGUAGGAGUUUGGUUAUGCGUGAGCUAAUGCACCAUUACAAUCAUUAGGGUGUGUCUGUUUUAUGCAACCCAGCUGUCAUAGAUUUUUAAAAAUGAGUUCUCAGGUAUUUUGAGAAUUGUUUUCACUUGGAUAUUGUGGAAUACCAUGUGUCAAUACAUGUAAAAAAUCAGAUUUGAUGUGCUUUUUAUUUAAGGCUGUAAUGCAGUAAGAGGGAACACUGUGGAAGGGUUGUAUACACGUUCUAUAGCCAGGUGACUGCAGGUGAAAGAGUAUGACGUGUGCAUGUUGCGGAAGAUGAGGACAGGGCCUUUAUGUAUGUUGGUAUCUGGAUGUGAGUUAUUUAACUCAGUUGGAAGGCUCACCACCUUAGAUGUGCGGAGGAGAAUAUGUACAUGUGAGAUAUUUGAAGAAACUGACACACCCGCAUGGCUGUAUCUGUUAUCUGUUCUCCUGCGCAGGUCUAAGGUGAUGGGCCUGCUAACUGUCAUUUUAGUAAUUCACACCCAGAUUCCAACAUACAUAAAUUACCUGUCCUCAUCUUUAACUACAUGCACAUUUCAUACACUUUCCCAUGUAUUCACCACAUACAGUGGCUAUAGUUAAUGUCUCUGCCAGUCUUAUAUACUUCUGCCUUUAUACAGUAAACUGAGUUUAGCUUCAAUUGUGGGUAAUGGGAAAAAUCUGCAUGUAUUCGUCAGCCUUUCAAAAAUAGACUUUAGUGUUAUACUUCCUCUGCUGUAAUUCAAUUUUUUGUCCAGCAGAGGGAGACAUAUUCUUCACCUGUAGCACCCUGUACUAAUGCAGUCCUGUCAACCCUCUUUUAACAAAGAUUGUUAAUGCCUCUGUUUUCAUUUGCAUAAUGUAUGUUCAUAGGUAACAUAUUUUGAUUAUAUUUUGUUUAUUUUAAACAUUCCCCCCUCUUUUUUUCUCUCCAGCUUGUCUGCAGAAGCAGGAAGUCCCCAGAUGGAGGCGCUGUCACUACGGACAAAAGCUGCGCAAACUGAAGGGACGAACGGGGAUUCGAACCCUGAAGCUCAGCGUUCCAAGCUUUGGACAAUACCUUUACGCCACCGUCAUGUUAGCGGUUGCGCGGCUGCAGAAAUGGCCUGAUGAUGAGACAACCCAAGUAUAAGCGAAACAAAGACGAAGGGGGGUUCGAACCCCCAACCUCUGCGUCCGUAGGCAAAGACAAUACCGCUGCGCCACCUUCUCUUCUGUGAAUCGGCCGGCUUUUCUGUGGGUAGAAGAAGAUGACACAACAGAAAUAUUUACAAAAAAAUCUCAGAAAUUUUGCCUUCAUCUACUAACUUCGGACCUGAAGGUGAUGAACCUUGUUACCUAUGUCUUACAGCUGGUUCUUAGAGCCACAGCAGAGGGGGGAUUGAACUUACUAUCUUGGGAUUCGUGGAACAGGGUACUCUGUCUUGCACCACGAAGCCCUUCAAGAAUUCCUGGGUGUUCAUUAGUGAACUUAUUCACAGACCGAUAAGAAUUAAACAGGAAGAGCUCAGCUUUGAAUAGCAGAGAUCCAGAUUAGGUGCUCUCCUAAAAUGAACUCUACGAAACUGUGGAAAAUUAUAAACUGACACCCUAACAUAUUUUGGCUUCUUUAAAUAAAGCUGUUGAUUCAUUGAAGGAAUUCCUUUGCAUUUGUGAUUUAUAAUUAGAAUAACAGGUGACUGACCAGUCCCGUUCAAACAGAUGACCUAAUUAAAGGUGUAAUGUUGUUGCAUCUUAUAGGUGUGCAUGAAAGUGAUUAGUUGGUUAUAUUUUUUAUGCCUUUGAAUGUUUUCUUUCACAAGGAUGAAAAAUGAGAUUUAAUCUAGUCAGUAAUGUACUAUGGAGAACACUCAUAUUCUGUUUUUAUAAACUGCAGUGGAUAUGUAUUGGGGACAGGGCUUGUAAAUGCAUUUUAUUUUCUUUUUAAUAAUGAAAUAAAAUGAAUUGUGUUUUGUAAUUUUAUACUGCAAUUACAUUUCAUUCUUGAAUGUUGUGCUGCCAUUGCUGAAUAAAAAUAAUGCACAAUAAGAACAGUGA
Anguilla rostrata (American eel) is the source of this 2905-nucleotide long non-coding RNA. RefSeq lists it as uncharacterized. The transcript is spliced from 2 exons. The record is from RefSeq and is a predicted model, not a curated record. Lineage: Eukaryota; Metazoa; Chordata; Actinopteri; Anguilliformes; Anguillidae.